This 253-nucleotide ribosomal RNA is filed under the name uncultured bacterium. RNAcentral describes it as "partial 16S ribosomal RNA". It matches the Rfam family "Bacterial small subunit ribosomal RNA", at positions 524 to 776 of the family's 1533-position model. The record is from RNAcentral.
UACGUAGGGAGCAAGCGUUGUCCGGAGUUACUGGGCGUAAAGCGCACGCAGGCGGUCUGCUAAGUUUGGAGUGACAGUUGGUGGCUUAACUGCCAAAGUGCUUCGAAAACUGACAGACUUGAGGGCUUCAGAGGGACACGGAAUUCCGGGUGGAGUGGUGAAAUGCGCAGAUAUCAGGAGGAACACCGGUGGCGAAGGCGGUUCUCUGGGCCUGUACUGACGCUGAGGAGCGAAAGCGUGGGGAGCGAACAGG